Non-coding RNA from Monodelphis domestica (gray short-tailed opossum), 1097 nucleotides. Lineage: Eukaryota; Metazoa; Chordata; Mammalia; Didelphimorphia; Didelphidae. The record is from RefSeq and is a predicted model, not a curated record.
AAUUGAUGCGUGUCCAGUUUUGUUGAUUCAAAGAAAAAGCUGGUGUGGGGGUCAGAGACUUCUGGGGGAGAGGAAAAGGGUCUGAGAAAGUUGUUUUGGGAGAGAGAGAAUCGGAAGGCAGCUCUCUCUGGGCCCAGGAGUGCCUCCCUGCCUGUCAGCCGUUUCUACAGAUCCCUUAAUGCUUUGUUGUCAAAGGUGGGAGAAGACCCCUUCUGGUUCCUGUGUGAUCCCUAGGCUUGGAUCCAUGUAGUUGGGACCCGAACCUUUAAAACUGCCAACCCUGAUUUCCAGGGGACUUUAUGGCAAUAUCAAUAGAAUUAAAGUUACUUGUAAUUCAGUGAUAAAUGAGAUGCCUUGAGUAAGUAAGAUUAAGUGCAGUGCUAUAAAGUUGUUUAUCUGAAAAGUAAUUCUCAGAAACCUGACUUCUGACACUUAGUCAUAUAUUAAACCAGCUUCUUUGAACAUUGCACUUCAGAACGGUCUCACCCACCCCACAGCAUACUUUGCUAUUUAUAACAGGGCCUUGGGUGUCACUCACUCUACAAGACUGUGCUAGGACUUUUGGCAAUUUCUUUUGUAGUAGCCAGAGCUAUGUGGGGACCUGUCUGGGAUGUACCCUCAAAUGACUGGGGACCUAUUAAAAAAUCCACCUGAAAUCCUCCAUCUUCAGAAUUUCCUGGAUGAAUGUGUACUUUCGCAGUUCUGAUUUCCCUCCAUUUAGCAGGGUUGCCCUCCAGUAGUUCUAUGUGAGGGAGAAUGAACUGUGUCUGUUAAUUUGUCCUUCGGACCCCUAUCUGUACAAUCAAAUAGCCCCCACUUACUUUCUUGUUUGGUAAAGAUUUUAUACAGAGGAAAGUUAAAGGCUUGUAUCAUGUGACCAAAAGCUGUUCCCGGUUGCAAGUUGAAGCCUCUUUCCCUUUGAAGACACAUCCUUUAUAAUUUUUAUUAGAGGUCAGCAAGCCUCUUCACCUAUGGACAAAACCAAGACAGUGUGUUCCCUCUAUGCAAGGUCUGAAAAUCAUGUCCUCUGUGUGUUACUGUCCGCUAGCAUCUCUUCUCCAUUAGUAUAUAAUAAAUAAUUACAAGUUGGGACUGUA